RNAcentral lists this unclassified non-coding RNA (253 nucleotides) under uncultured Alteromonadales bacterium. Its description in RNAcentral is "contains 16S-23S intergenic spacer region". It matches the Rfam family "Bacterial small subunit ribosomal RNA", at positions 524 to 776 of the family's 1533-position model. Lineage: Bacteria; Pseudomonadati; Pseudomonadota; Gammaproteobacteria; Alteromonadales. The record is from RNAcentral.
UACAGAGGGUGCAAGCGUUAAUCGGAAUUACUGGGCGUAAAGCGCACGUAGGUGGUUCGAUAAGCGAGAUGUGAAAGCCCCGGGCUUAGCCUGGGAACGGCAUUUCGAACUGUCAGGCUGGAGUGUGGUAGAGGGUAGUGGAAUUUCCUGUGUAGCGGUGAAAUGCGUAGAUAUAGGAAGGAACACCAGUGGCGAAGGCGGCUACCUGGACCAACACUGACACUGAGGUGCGAAAGCUGGGGGAGCAAACCGG